CCUCAGAUCAGGCAAGAAUACCCGCUGAAUUUAAGCAUAUUACUAAGCGGAGGAAAAGAAACUAACCAGG
This 70-nucleotide ribosomal RNA is filed under the name Aphrocallistes vastus (cloud sponge). RNAcentral describes it as "partial 28S ribosomal RNA". It matches the Rfam family "Eukaryotic large subunit ribosomal RNA", at positions 1 to 73 of the family's 3401-position model. Lineage: Eukaryota; Metazoa; Porifera; Hexactinellida; Sceptrulophora; Aphrocallistidae. The record is from RNAcentral.